Molecule: unclassified non-coding RNA, 227 nt
Filed under: Hevea brasiliensis (rubber tree)
Lineage: Eukaryota; Viridiplantae; Streptophyta; Magnoliopsida; Malpighiales; Euphorbiaceae
Source: RNAcentral
CAGCUAUACAGGGUAUGAAGGGUUAGACUUAAGCUGGAAAAUAAGAGCUUGUUCAGAGGAACUGUGUCUUGUGAUAUAUGAUCAACCUUCUGCAACAGAAGAUUCAGCUGCAUAAUCCAAGCGAAUCCGAACUGGCAAAGGCCUCGCGAUGAGACUGUCAGUUACCCAACCUGCUACUUCACCAUCAGUUUUGACAUGGUUAAACUCUCUCUCAACAUACUCCAAAG